UGGGGAAUCUUGCGCAAUGGGGGAAACCCUGACGCAGCGACGCCGCGUGCGGGAUGAAGGCCUUCGGGUUGUAAACCGCUUUCAGCAGGGACGAGGCCUUAUGGUGACGGUACCUGCAGAAGAAGCUCCGGCUAAAUACGUGCCAGCAGCCGCGGUAAUACGUAUGGAGCAAGCGUUAUCCGGAUUCAUUGGGCGUAAAGCGCUCGUAGGCGGUCUGUUAGGUCGGCAAGUUAAAUCCGGGGGCUCAACCCCCGUCCGCUUCCGAUACCGGCAGACUUGAGUUUGGUAGGGGAAGGUGGAAUUCCUAGUGUAGCGGUGGAAUGCGCAGAUAAUAGGAAGAACACCGGUGGCGAAGGCGGCCUUCUGGGGCAUGACUGACGCUGAGGAGCGAAAGCUAGGGGAGCGAACAGG
This 411-nucleotide ribosomal RNA is filed under the name Verrucomicrobiota bacterium. RNAcentral describes it as "Verrucomicrobia bacterium partial 16S ribosomal RNA". It matches the Rfam family "Bacterial small subunit ribosomal RNA", at positions 355 to 776 of the family's 1533-position model. The record is from RNAcentral. Lineage: Bacteria; Pseudomonadati; Verrucomicrobiota.